AGUGAACGCUGGCGGUAGGCCUAACACAUGCAAGUCGAACGGCAGCACAGUAAGAGCUUGCUCUUACGGGUGGCGAGUGGCGGACGGGUGAGGAAUACAUCGGAAUCUACUUUUUCGUGGGGGAUAACGUAGGGAAACUUACGCUAAUACCGCAUACGACCUACGGGUGAAAGCAGGGGAUCUUCGGACCUUGCGCGAUUGAAUGAGCCGAUGUCGGAUUAGCUAGUUGGCGGGGUGAAGGCCAACCAAGGCGACGAUCCUUAGCUGGUCUGAGAGGAGGAUCGGCCCAACGGAACUGAGACACGGUCCAGACUCCUACGGGAGGCAGCAGUGGGGAAUAUUGGACAAUGGGCGCAAGCCUGAUCCAGCCAUACCGCGUGGGUGAAGAAGGCCUUCGGGUUGUAAAGCCCCUUUGUUGGGAAAGAAAAGCAGCAGGUUAAUACCCCGCUGUCCUGACGGUACCCAAAGAAUAAGCACCGGCUAACUUCGUG
RNAcentral lists this ribosomal RNA (491 nucleotides) under uncultured bacterium. Its description in RNAcentral is "partial 16S ribosomal RNA". It matches the Rfam family "Bacterial small subunit ribosomal RNA", at positions 29 to 507 of the family's 1533-position model. The record is from RNAcentral.